Molecule: ribosomal RNA, 483 nt
Filed under: uncultured bacterium
Lineage: Bacteria
Description: partial 16S ribosomal RNA
Rfam family: Bacterial small subunit ribosomal RNA
Source: RNAcentral
GACGAACGCUGGCGGCGUGCUUAACACAUGCAAGUCGAACGAUGAAGCGGGUGCUUGCACUCGUGGAUUAGUGGCGAACGGGCGAGUAACACGUGAGUAACCUGUCCUUUUCUUUGGGAUAACGGCUGGAAACGGCUGCUAAUACUGGAUAUUCAGGCUGCAUCGCAUGGUGUGGUUUGGAAAGGUUUUUUCUGAGAUUGGGUGGGCUCGCGGCCUAUCAGCUUGUUGGUGGGGUGAUGGCUUACCAAGGCUUUGACGGGUAGCCGGCCUGAGAGGGUGGUCGGUCGCACUGGGACUGAGAUACGGCCCAGACUCCUACGGGAGGCAGCAGUGGGGAAUAUUGCACAAUGGACGAAAGUUUGAUGCAGCGACGCCGCGUGGAGGGUGUAGGCCUUCGGGUUGUGAACUCCUUUUUCUCGCGAAAAAGGCACAGUUUUGGCUGUGUUGAUGGUAGUGGGGGAAGAAGCGCCGGCUAACUACGUG